Molecule: ribosomal RNA, 260 nt
Filed under: uncultured prokaryote
Description: partial 16S ribosomal RNA
Rfam family: Bacterial small subunit ribosomal RNA
Source: RNAcentral
UACGUAGGGUGCGAGCGUUGUCCGGAAUUACUGGGCGUAAAGAGCUCGUAGGCGGUUUGUCGCGUCGUCUGUGAAAUUCCGGGGCUUAACCUCGGGCGUGCAGGCGAUACGGGCAAUACUUGAGUGCUGUAGGGGAGACUGGAAUUCCUGGUGUAGCGGUGAAAUGCGCAGAUAUCAGGAGGAACACCGAUGGCGAAGGCAGGUCUCUGGGCAGUAACUGACGCUGAGGAGCGAAAGCAUGGGUAGCGAACAGGAUUAGA